GUAGGAUCUCUCUUUGAAGAUCCUGCAUUUGUAGAGUUUUUCCUUGCAAGCCUAGAUCUCUAGGUGUUUUGGAUUGAGCUCUUACUGAAAAGAGGCUGAAAACAAGACUGCUGGGAGAGCAAAGAAGCUUUGAAUUUCUUGCCUGCUUAAUUCCAAUUCAUUUGUCUUUUCUGGAUCCUGAAUUCCAGGAAGAAUCACAGAACAAUUGAAGAUGGAAGGGACUCCUGGAUGUUACUUGGUGCAGUCCCCUGCUCAAGCAGGGCCACCAGGAUCAAGUUGCCUAGGACCACAUCUAGGUGGCUUUGGAAUAUCUUCAAAGGGGAGACUCUGCUACCUUUCUGGGCAUGUGCUAGUGCUCUGUCACCUUCACAGUGUAAAAGCUUUCCCUGAUGUUGAAAUGGAUCCUUCCCUGUUUGUGUCCCUUGCCUCUUCUCCUGUUACUGAGCACCACUGAAAAGAGACCGACUUCACCUUCUUUCCUCCCUUUCUUCAGGAUUCUAUUGAUGACUGCAGAUAGAAGCUCUUCAGGACAUAUGAAUUGUGCUUGCAGUGUCAAUGAACAUUAGCAGAACAUCUGCUGCAGACUGGACUUGAAGUAAAGGACCAUCUAGCUGGCUGUCAACAGGCUGCGAUUGUGCGCAGGGGAAAACAGCAAGGAGUAGACUGAGUGGGUUCAGAAGAGAACUAUUUGACGUUAGAUGAAGGCAAAAUCUAGGUCUGCCUCUAUCUCAUGCAGCCUACUAAACAGAUGGGAGAGAUAGGCAUCGACUCUGCAUCUGGACUGCCUGAAAAUUCAAAUGAGUUUGGAUAGAACUUUGGAAUGGGUUGUUCCAUUCUUGUUACAGC
Lagopus muta (rock ptarmigan) is the source of this 846-nucleotide long non-coding RNA. RefSeq lists it as uncharacterized. The transcript has 6 exons. Lineage: Eukaryota; Metazoa; Chordata; Aves; Galliformes; Phasianidae. The record is from RefSeq and is a predicted model, not a curated record.